This 561-nucleotide unclassified non-coding RNA is filed under the name Hevea brasiliensis (rubber tree). Lineage: Eukaryota; Viridiplantae; Streptophyta; Magnoliopsida; Malpighiales; Euphorbiaceae. The record is from RNAcentral.
GGAAUCGGAGUUUUGGAUAAGGUGCUUUUAGCUUUUAGCUUUUAGCCUUUUAGUCACAUGAAGGUGGUACAAAACCCAGACAGUGGUGCAAAUAGUGCUGGUAUUGGAAACAUGUUGAUACCUGUGGUUCAAUUAUCAUUACAGGCCAAAUAAUGAUGAUAACACAACUCACAGUAGCUGCAGGUGGGGGUUGAGGCAGAUUAAUACUUGUUAUAUAUAUAAACAAGCUUUGUGAGCGGAAACUGGGUUUUGAUGCUUGCUGCUACUCCACCUCAAAUGUAAGUAUGCAAUGGUGCAACGGUGCGCAUACAAUAGAGGGAAAGAAUUUGCUUCCUCAACAAAUCUUUGCCCUUUUAUUGCCCCAUACUCACAUCUUCCCUUAAGUCCAAAGGGUCAUGUUUGUGGCAAAAGAUGUUUAUGGUUGAAGUUUAUGCCUUGUUCAUCCAAAAUGAAUGCCAUCCUCUCAAGAAGAUAAUAGUAAAGGUCAAUGAUAUAUAAUAAACUAAAAACUAUGGGGAGCAAUCGUGUUGUUGACUAAUGUGUUGCUUUUUUACAUUGGGG